UACAGAGGUGGCAAGCGUUGUUCGGAAUUACUGGGCGUAAAGGGCGCGUAGGCGGCCUACUAAGUCAGACGUGAAAUCCCCAGGCUUAACUUGGGAACUGCGUCUGAUACUGGGAGGCUUGAGUGCGGGAGAGGGAUGUGGAAUUCCAGGUGUAGCGGUGAAAUGCGUAGAUAUCUGGAGGAACACCGGUGGCGAAGGCGGCAUUCUGGACCGACAUUGACGCUGAGGAGCGAAAGCCAGGGGAGCAAACGGG
RNAcentral lists this ribosomal RNA (253 nucleotides) under uncultured bacterium. Its description in RNAcentral is "partial 16S ribosomal RNA". It matches the Rfam family "Bacterial small subunit ribosomal RNA", at positions 524 to 776 of the family's 1533-position model. The record is from RNAcentral.